Long non-coding RNA from Mus musculus (house mouse), 4345 nucleotides. RefSeq annotates it as predicted gene, 32085. NCBI's taxonomy places the organism in Eukaryota, Metazoa, Chordata, Mammalia, Rodentia, Muridae. The record is from RefSeq and is a predicted model, not a curated record. The transcript has 7 exons.
UUGGAUGGGCAGAGAGCUAGGCGCUGCCAUCCCUUGAGGUGGCUGAUGGCUGCGCACGCUCAGACCCACCAAGUCCACACUAGCAUUUGGUUUGGAGGUUGUCUACAGAGACAGACAGUCUCUGAGGAGCCUGAAGACCUUGGACUCCAGGUGCUUCCUUCGUGACUCUGUGCCUCAUCUUCCUGGCAGAGAGGCACAAGGAACUUCUUUGAGGCUACACAUGCUUCAUUUUCAGAUCUCCAGAGUGGAAUCAACAGAAAUCUCCUCUACUGGGUCCACCAAGGUUUGCAUGACAGUCGUCUGCCCUCCGCUGAGAGACCAGCUCUUAGAAGUCUCAGAAGGCCGCAAGUGUGAUGCUCAAGGACACUAGAAGAACGCACCAGGUCUCUUGGAGUUGGAGUUACAGAGUGGUAGAAUGUGCCAUUUUGGAAGGAGUGUGACUCUGAACCAACAGCACUUGGAAAGUGUCGUAUGUACAAGGAUUCUCUGACUCAUGCUCAUCUCUUCUGGAAGGCCAGCGAUAAUCUCCCCUGUGGAGUAUAUUCCCUAUACCGGAAGGGAAGUAACAAUCUUAACGUUUUAAAAUUAACUAAUUAGUUUGGUGUGUAUGUGUUUGGGCAUGUGUUCUGUGCAGCACAUGUGUGGAGGUCAGAGAACAGCUCGGAGGAGUCAGUUUUCUCUUUCUACACAUGGGUACUAGGAAGCAAACUUAGGUGGUCAGACUCUGCAGAAAGCAUCCUUCCUGCUGAGCUAAAUCUGGAAAAUAACAUUUCUGGAAUCAAGGAUGGGCGGUUUGGUAGUUAAAUUUGACCUUCAGCUGAAGGGGUUUAGAAUUUCCCAGGUGACAUGAGGCCUGUGUGGCUGUUGCCAGAGCAGUUUACUGAAGUGGAAAGACCCACCCUGAAUGUGGCUGGAUCCCUAGACAGAACAGAAAGUGUUGGGGAUUGGUUCCAAUGCUCUAAAUUAAACUGGCUCCCAAAAUCAGGAAUCUGCGCGUCCAACCGCUGAAGGUCCUUGUCUCCAAUUGGUUGUUGAUUGAUCAAUAAAGAGCCAACAGCCAAUGGCUGGGCAGCUAGACUGAGGCGGGACCUUUAGAUUUGCUUGCGUUAGGAAUUGAAAGAAAGGAAGACAGAGAAUCACCGUGACUCAGGGGAGAAGGAUGGGACAUAAGAGCUGCAGGAGAGAAAGCUGAUCGGCCAUGUAAGAAUUUGGGUAAGCCAAUGGCCACUUACCCACUGAGCCUGGGGUAGUUGGGCAAGAUUUAGGAGUCUCGGGAGUACAGGGGCGGGGCAGGUUUAGGAGUGCCCAACCUUUGAGCUAGUCAUGGCAUGUCAAAAAUUAACUCUGUGUGUGUGUGUGUGUGUGUGUGUGUGUGUGUGUGUGUGUGUGUCUGUCUGUCUGUCUGUCUGUCUGUCUGUCUCACUGUCUGUCUUUCAUUCGAGAAUCUGGAUAGCUCCUGAGGGAGUGCAGGUGUGCAAUCGACUGGGAGCAAAAGCAGUUCAACUAAUCUUACCACUACAACAAAGGAAAGAUGAAAUGAGCAGCAGCUAGCUAUCUCUCUGUGUUUGCUAACUUAGGGUACCAUGACGCCAUCUCACGCUCUGUGGCAGAGAGUUUCUCUCACACUCUGUAGCCAGAACAAAUUCCCGCUUGCUUAAGUAGCUUGUGUCAUGAAUGCCUGUGGCAAGCAGUAGAGUGAUUACCCCAGGGUUUGUUCUGAGAAGUGAGGCUGUGUGUCUUAGUUAGGGUUUCAUUGCUGUGAGGACACACCACAGCCAAGGCUGCUCUUAUAAAGGAAAACAUUUAAUUUUCCUGGCUGGCUUACAGGUUCAGAGGUUCAGUCCAUUAUCAUCAUGGUGGGAAGCAUGGCAGCAUCUGGGCAGACAUGUGAUGGAGGAACCAAGAGUUCUUUUUCCAAACAUAGCAGAAAGAGAACAUAAUGACCCUACGUAUCUUCCAUGGAUAGACCCUUCUUUAUUCAAAGCAGCCUGCCCCCACCCCCAUUGGCUAAAACACAUGAAAAAAAUAGCCCUUUUAAAAAAAUUAUCAACACUGACAGAUAAAUUUAGAAAUUCUAUUAAAAAAUGUAACGCUGUGAAAAAUUUUAGUUUGUUUUCUUGCCAGAAUAUGCCUCUAAAGAGAAAGAUGUCAGGCAGUGGAAAUUAUAACAACUCUAUUUUACUAUUUCCAUGGAUAGAAAUAUUACAACAUUAAUUUGAAUUUUAGAUUUUCUUGAAGUUAUUGGGGAAAUAAGAACAAUGAAAAUAGAUUCUUUGUGAGUUAACUAAAACCCAGAAGAGCAGGGAAAGUGGAUUUGAUGGUACGGUAGUUAUUUCUAGAUCACUGUGGUGAUUUUUGUGCCUGUUGGCUUCCAGCAUGGUCUCUACAUGGCAGUGACCAAGUGAAGCUGGGUGAGAGGAAGGAAGACUGAGAGUAACACAAAGACUCUGUCUACAGUCAACACCAACUGAGCAUUUGUGUAUCGGUUCUCUGCAUUAGUGUGCGUAUUUACAUGAUUUCCUUUGAACCCACAACAGCUCCAAGGAGUCAGCACUUCUGUUAUCUCUAUUUCCUGUCAAGAAAACCAGAGCUUGAAAGGAUUUGCCCAUGGCUUCUAGGUAGGAAUACCCACGCUGACAGCAAAACCCAUGCUGGCUUGCCCGCAGGCUGGCAGAUCUCAGCAUCAUGCCAUAAACGACAGAAGACCCAUAAAGCUCUGAUACAUCUAUAUUUAACAUGAACUACAAAUAAUGAGAGACUUAUGGUGGUCCACAGAUAGAAACUUACUAUGGUAGCAGCAUGCAGCUGUUAGGUUUAACUUAGCACAUUCAACAAAGUGGAAAUCAAGGAAAACAUUUCCCAUCACGGUUGAUCACCGUUGGACUUUGAAGGGCUGUACGUCUUAGCUAUGCUUCUAGACAAAUAAAGCUGCACAACGCCAGACGUUUCUACUCGCCUCUUGAUUCGGGAAGAUCCAGUUUGAUGAUGAGACAUUUUCUCUUGAAUUGUAGUACAGCAACUGAAGGAGAUGGAGAGAGUUAAGAUAAUAAAUUCAGACAGAAAAGCUGUAAAGUAAAAUGAUGGUUAAAUAGCCUCCUUGCCUGGGGCGUACAUUAGGGAACAAAUUUGUGACCUUUGAUAAUCCAUCCACCAAAAAGCUUAUGAAAUAGUCUUGCCAGUGACCUUCAGGAGAGUGACCUUCAGGAGAAUAAGAGCAUCUACACAGGCCGAGGUUCUGUUUUUAUAGGUUCAAAAUUAAGGACCACAAGAAGAACAAAGGACGAGAACUGUUUUGAAAUCUGCACAAAUGGAUCAGUAAUGGAAUUUUCCUCAAAUUUCAUGUACAAAGCAGCUGUUGCCGGAAGGAUGCUACAGAGAUCCUCCUAUGGCUGGAUAGUCACUUUGCACUGCUGUUAUAAAAACACUAUUACCAAGGCGACUUAUAGAAAGAAGAUGGCUUAAGUUUCCCGGGGAAAGUCUGUAACAUCAGAAAGGCAUGGCUGUAGUCAUCUAGAACCACACACAAACUCAGAGAGAAACUACAUGUCGGGCAAGGUCAUAAGCUGUCAAAGCUCUCCCCACCAAGGGACGUGCUUCCUCCAGCAAUGCUGAACCUCCCCAGACACCACCACCAACUGGAGAUCAAGUGUUCAAAUAUCUGAGCUUUGCGGGGACAUUUCUCAUUUGAAACCCCCUCCCCAGAAGAGUCAUUCAGGAUGCCUUACAGUUUACAGGACAUGCUGUAAUCAAAGUAACUAUUAAAUGUUCCCAAGAUUUCUGAGACUUGCAAAGGACAUUUAAUAAAUAAAAAAAUGUACAGUGAAAUAAAAAAACAAUUAAGAAAAACACAUUGCAUUUGUAGGGAUCUCUCAGUUCAAGAAGAACUGAAUCUCCCGUCAGUCAGCUUCGUGUGAAGAUAACUAGAGGCUUCUGGGUUGACAUGAGAGGAUUUUAACAACCUUCCGAUUGCUAAAGAGUUUGACAUGACUUUAUGUCCAGGUCAUGAUGGCAUUUUAAUAGCAGCACAAGGUUUUCAAACAGGAGACACUGAAGGGCAGUUGCUCUCCUUUGGCACUAGAGGCCAGUCUGCAGCUAAUUAGCAGGUCAUAGGUGGAAGUGGACUGUGGCAGAACAACAAAACAUUGUUGUUAUCAGUUCACUGAACAGAUGGAAGAAAGGCAUUUCAAGUCAAGCCAAAUGGAGCUGAAGGUGACACAGUAUCAAAAUUAGACUGAAACUGGUGCAGAUGCACUGGAACCCAGCUUCACUGUGACUUUCUCUUCUCCUUGGAGGCUGUUCGCCACUGGCCCUCGUGGAAAAAGGGAGCAGAAGUGGGGGACCAGGG